AAAUUUUUGUUGGCGCUUGCUCCGGACAUCGAUGGCGGCGCGUCGUGGAGGUGGCCGUCGUGGAGCUCGCCGCCGCGGAGGUCGCGCCGUGCGCGUAGGGGCGGAGUGGUGACCGGAUCCACCGCCGCCUUGCUUGCCCAUCACAGCCACACCCUUCGUCACCCGUGCAAGAUCCACGCUAGAUCCGCACGCGUGGGGCGCGGAGCGGCAGCUGGAUGCGCCGCCUCCUCACCUCCUACCCGUAGUCACCCGUUGACGCUGCACCCAGCCGUGCCGUGCUGGAUCCGCCGAUGUCGUGCUCACCACCGAUCAGUGAUGGAGGUGGAGCCGCCGCGCCUCCAGCCCGCAGUCGCCCGUCGUUUCCGCGCCCACAACCGUGUCGAGCCGGAUCCACCGAUGUCGCACCCGUCGCCGCUCGACAAUAGAGGUGGAGCCGUCGCGCCACCCGCCCGCCAACGCUGCGCCCGCAGUCGCCCAUCGCCACCGUGCCCAUAG
Molecule: long non-coding RNA, 495 nt
Filed under: Oryza sativa Indica Group (long-grained rice)
Lineage: Eukaryota; Viridiplantae; Streptophyta; Magnoliopsida; Poales; Poaceae
Description: lncRNA OsMH63_06G015060
Source: RNAcentral